CAGCACCUCAAGUGGUCAGGAUGAUUAUUGGGCCUAAAGCAUCCGUAGCCGGCGCUGUAAGUUUUCGGUUAAAUCUGUACGCUCAACGUACAGGCUGCCGGGAAUACUGCAGCGCUAGGGAGUGGGAGAGGUAGACGGUACUCGGUAGGAAGGGGUAAAAUCCUUUGAUCUAUUGAUGACCACCUGUGGCGAAGGCGGUCCACCAGAACACGUCCGACGGUGAGGGAUGAAAGCUGGGGGAGCAAACCGGAUUAGAGACCCGAGUAGUCC
Molecule: ribosomal RNA, 270 nt
Filed under: uncultured archaeon
Lineage: Archaea
Description: partial 16S ribosomal RNA
Rfam family: Archaeal small subunit ribosomal RNA
Source: RNAcentral